Molecule: ribosomal RNA, 445 nt
Filed under: uncultured bacterium
Lineage: Bacteria
Description: bacterial SSU rRNA
Rfam family: Bacterial small subunit ribosomal RNA
Source: RNAcentral
GCCAGACUCCUACGGGAGGCAGCAGUGGGGAAUAUUGCACAAUGGGGGAAACCCUGAUGCAGCGACGCCGCGUGAGUGAAGAAGUAUUUCGGUAUGUAAAGCUCUAUCAGCAGGGAAGAAAAUGACGGUACCUGACUAAGAAGCCCCGGCUAACUACGUGCCAGCAGCCGCGGUAAUACGUAGGGGGCAAGCGUUAUCCGGAUUUACUGGGUGUAAAGGGAGCGUAGACGGUGAUGCAAGUCAGAAGUGAAAGCCCGGGGCUCAACUCCGGGACUGCUUUUGAAACUGUGUGACUGGAGUGCAGGAGAGGUAAGCGGAAUUCCUGGUGUAGCGGUGAAAUGCGUAGAUAUCAGGAGGAACACCAGUGGCGAAGGCGGCUUACUGGACUGUAACUGACGUUGAGGCUCGAAAGCGUGGGGAGCAAACAGGAUUAGAUACCCGUGUA